Molecule: ribosomal RNA, 468 nt
Filed under: uncultured bacterium
Lineage: Bacteria
Description: partial 16S ribosomal RNA
Rfam family: Bacterial small subunit ribosomal RNA
Source: RNAcentral
GACGAACGCUGGCGGCGUGCUUAACACAUGCAAGUCGAACGGAAAGGCCCUGCUUUUGUGGGUUGCUCGAGUGGCGAACGGGUGAGUAACACGUGAGUAACCUGCCCUUGACUUUGGGAUAACUUCAGGAAACUGGGGCUAAUACCGGAUAGGAGCUCCUGCUGCAUGGUGGGGGUUGGAAAGUUUCGGCGGUUGGGGAUGGACUCGCGGCUUAUCAGCUUGUUGGUGGGGUAGUGGCUUACCAAGGCUUUGACGGGUAGCCGGCCUGAGAGGGUGACCGGCCACAUGGGGACUGAGAUACGGCCCAGACUCCUACGGGAGGCAGCAGUGGGGAAUAUUGCACAAUGGGCGGAAGCCUGAUGCAGAAACGCCGCGUGCGGGAUGACGGCCUUCGGGUUGUAAACCGCUUUCGCCUGUGACGAAGCGUGAGUGACGGUAAUGGGUAAAGAAGCACCGGCUAACUACGUG